UCCGUAGGCGGGCGUCUAAGUCAGUGGUGAAAUCUUACAGCUCAACUGUAAAAUUGCCAUUGAUACUGGAUGUCUUGAAUUAGUGUGAAGUGGUUAGAAUGUGUAGUGUAGCGGUGAAAUGCAUAGAUAUUACACAGAAUACCAAUUGCGACGGCAGAUCACUAACACUAUAUUGACGCUGAGGGACGAAAGCGUGGGGAGCGAACAGGAUUAGAUACCCUGGUAGUCC
This 229-nucleotide ribosomal RNA is filed under the name uncultured bacterium. RNAcentral describes it as "partial 16S ribosomal RNA". It matches the Rfam family "Bacterial small subunit ribosomal RNA", at positions 568 to 796 of the family's 1533-position model. The record is from RNAcentral.